UGGUUCACCUAGGACUCGAACCUAGAAUACCCGUUAGGGUGGAGGAUUUACAAUCCCCUGACUUACCAUUAGUCUAAUGAACC
Molecule: transfer RNA, 83 nt
Filed under: Vibrio phage 1.081.O._10N.286.52.C2
Lineage: Duplodnaviria; Heunggongvirae; Uroviricota; Caudoviricetes; Pantevenvirales; Straboviridae
Description: tRNA-Tyr
Source: RNAcentral